AAAUAGCAAAAUGACAGAAAAAAAAAAAAAUCCACACUUAAAAAAAAAAAUUUGUUUUGUUUUUUUAGGGCCACGCCCACGGCACAUGGAGGUUCCCAGGCUAGGGGUUGAAUCAGAGCUUCAGCUGCAGGCCUACCCACAGUCACAGCAAUGCAGGAUCCAAGCCACAUCUGCAGCCUACAUCACAGCUCAUGGCAACACCAGAUCCUUAACCCACUAAGCAAGGCCAGGGAUUGAACCUGCGUCCUCAUGGUUACUAGUCAGAUUCAUUUCUGCUGAGCCACAAUGGGAACUCCAAAACACUGGUUUUUAAAAAAUUAGGGUUUGUAUUUUGUCUUUAUCAAAGUUUAACCAAGAAGGGAAUUCCAAAAGGCAAUGUUUUUUAAAGGCAUUAAAAGAAUGUACAGAUUUUUUUUCAGGAUCAAAGGGUGAAUCUUUCUGUAGGUGACACAAAAUCCCCGUCCAUAAAGAAAGGGCUCGAGGUCUUGAUAGGGAUAGAGUAGGCACACGUGGUUGCAGAAGUCCCAAUAGGGGAUCAUAGAUAAAGAGGGAAACCUGGGGGAUGUUAGCGGAUCACUGUAAGUUCAAGAAACCAACAGAAAGAAGCAGCCUUGCUUAUUAACUAGUGGAGGUGUGAGAAUUGUCUAGGUCAUUGGGUGGGGAAUGGGAUGAGGCCUGCAUUCAGAUUCAGACCAAGGGCAGGAGUUUGAAGGCCACCCUUCAGCUGAUUUGAAUACACACCCAACCGGAUACUAAGGAGGAGCUACUACUCCCAGAAAGGAAGAGGCAGGCCUUUCCAACCCCCACUCCCCUUGGAUGAUAAAACUGGUUCACUGGAUCCUUGGGCAGAGCUUCUUGCUUGCCUGCUUGUACCGCAUACAAGCGUCCUAUCUUAAUAAAUCUGUUUCUUGCCUAUCACUUUGUCUCUCACCGAAUUCCUUCUGUGUGGAGGCAUAAAGAACCUGAGCCUUGGUGAGUUCAGACACAUGGUAAGUAACUCAAAUUUAAAACUGUGGGUUUAAGUCCCAAUCUGGCUUUAGGUUGGGUAGGAGUCCCAGCACAUGGGGUCAAGUCUCAAUCUGGGUUUUGGCUGGGUUCAGGCCAUUAGUGCUGUCAGUUUCAGUUUGACUCUGCAAAACAGUAUUUUCUAGAAGACAAAAAAGCCAUAGGAGUUCCCUUCGUGGCUCAUCAGUUAAUUAACCCAACUAGGAUCCAUAAGGAUGUGUGUUUGAUCCCUGGCCUCCCUCAGUGGAUUAAGGAUCCCACGUUGCUGUUGCUGUGGCAUAGACCAGCAGCUGUAGCUUCACUUCAACCCCUAGCCUGGGAACUUCCAUAUGCCUCAAGUGCUGCCCU
Molecule: long non-coding RNA, 1353 nt
Filed under: Sus scrofa (pig)
Lineage: Eukaryota; Metazoa; Chordata; Mammalia; Artiodactyla; Suidae
Description: lncRNA (ENSSSCG00030023747.1)
Source: RNAcentral